AACGGCCGCGGUAUCCUAACCGUGCAAAGGUAGCAUAAUCACUUGCCUAUUAAUUGUAGGCUAGAAUGAAUGGGUUAACGAAAUAAAGACUGUCUCAAUUAAUCACCUAAAAAUUACUAUCUAUCUGAAGAAGGGUAGAUAACCUCGAAGGACAAGAAGACCCUAUAGAGCUUAAUUUUAAUUAUAGAGCUACACUAUAAGAAUAUUCGGUUGGGGCGACCCAGGGCUAAUUAAUCACCCAAUAAAUAAAAGAUAAAUUAAUCAAGUAAUUGACCCCUAAAAGAUCAUAAGAACAAGCUACCUUAGGGAUAACAGGCUAAUCCCACUCAAGAGUCCUUAUCAACAGUGGGGUUUGGCACCUCGAUGUUGGCUUAGG
Molecule: ribosomal RNA, 376 nt
Filed under: Metaphire sieboldi (earthworm)
Lineage: Eukaryota; Metazoa; Annelida; Clitellata; Crassiclitellata; Megascolecidae
Description: partial 16S ribosomal RNA
Rfam family: Bacterial large subunit ribosomal RNA
Source: RNAcentral